This is a long non-coding RNA of Rosa chinensis, 667 nucleotides long. RefSeq lists it as uncharacterized. The record is from RefSeq and is a predicted model, not a curated record. The transcript is spliced from 3 exons. Lineage: Eukaryota; Viridiplantae; Streptophyta; Magnoliopsida; Rosales; Rosaceae.
AAAGCAUACAAAUUAGUCAUGACAAAUGCAGAGAAGUUAGCAAAAGAAGUUGAAGAAUUGCUACGAUCUGAAAUGAAUGCUAAUGUGGAUGAGAAUGGUCAUACAACUCAAUCCACUCCUGGACAACUCAAUGUAGAUGGUAAUGUGGUGAAUGCAAAAGGUCUAAAGAAAAAGGAAAAAUCUAAAGGAAGAAAACGGAGAAUCAAGAGUCAAGUAGAGAUAAGCAUGAACAAAAAUAAAAAAUAGAGGCAACCCAGUAAAAAAGCAAUGGAGGUUACUCCUGAUCAAAUGAAUGGUGUAUACAAGGUGACUUUUGAUCCAACAUGUAAUGAAGAGAAUGCUACUCUUGAUCUAACAAACAAUGCAGAUCAAUUUCUGGAACAAGACUUUUGUGCAUCUUCACUUAGUCAGGUUGUGCAGUCUUCUGCUUCGUUUUUGUAAGACGCUUCUGCAAUUGUAUAGCCUUAUGUUUUGUUUUGUAAGAAUGGAAGAAGGCACUUGUGCAGCAUUAGUUUUACUUUUUUAGGAGGAGAGGCAAUUGUACAGCAUAUGUCUUAUUUUUUGUAAGAGGAUCGAGAGGGCUAUGUUGAUUUCUUAAACCUUAAAAGGGUAGGCUGCUGAAGGCAAUAUGUUCAAGUGUAAUUAGACCCAUUUCAUAUGUACUAAU